UACAGAGGUCUCAAGCGUUGUUCGGAUUCAUUGGGCGUAAAGGGUGUGUAGGUGGCGCCGUAAGUCGGGUGUGAAAUUUCGGGGCUUAACUCCGAAACUGCAUUCGAUACUGCCGUGCUUGAGGACUGGAGAGGAGACUGGAAUUUACGGUGUAGCGGUGAAAUGCGUAGAUAUCGUAAGGAAGACCAGUGGCGAAGGCGGGUCUCUGGACAGUUCCUGACGCUGAGGCACGAAGGCCAGGGGAGCAAACGGG
This 253-nucleotide ribosomal RNA is filed under the name uncultured bacterium. RNAcentral describes it as "partial 16S ribosomal RNA". It matches the Rfam family "Bacterial small subunit ribosomal RNA", at positions 524 to 776 of the family's 1533-position model. The record is from RNAcentral.